RNAcentral lists this long non-coding RNA (288 nucleotides) under Mytilus galloprovincialis (Mediterranean mussel). The record is from RNAcentral. Lineage: Eukaryota; Metazoa; Mollusca; Bivalvia; Mytilida; Mytilidae.
UCAUCAAAAGUUAUAUUUAAAAAAAUAGUUUAAUACUGCAUUUAAAUUAUUUUGUUUCUCUUCUUUUUUUAACAUGUGAACGUUUCAUGGUGUUCCAGGGUUUGAAACCCCCUCUUCAAAAUGCCUGUAUCCACACACUCUACUGACUCAACUUCCCUAAUGUAAAAAAAAUAUACACAAAUGAACUCUCUGAGCAUGGUCCCUGUGUCUUACUUUACAAAUGUAUAUCACAAUAUUGGAUCAUAUACAUGUAGUUUAAAUUCUUUCAAAUUUGUAUUUUCAUUUCAU